This 218-nucleotide ribosomal RNA is filed under the name uncultured bacterium. RNAcentral's name for it is "partial 16S ribosomal RNA". It matches the Rfam family "Bacterial small subunit ribosomal RNA", at positions 1282 to 1500 of the family's 1533-position model. The record is from RNAcentral.
GCGGUCCCAGUUCGAAUUGAAGGCUGAAAUUCGCCUUCAUGAAGUCGGAAUUGCUAGUAAUGGCAGGUCAGCAUACUGCCGUGAAUACGUUCCCGGGCCUUGUACACACCGCCCGUCACACCAUGAGAGUUGGAGAUACCCGAAGCCUGUGAGCUAACUUUUAGAGGCAGCAGUCGAAGGUAGAAUCAAUGAUUGGGGUGAAGUCGUAACAAGGUAAC